RNAcentral lists this ribosomal RNA (403 nucleotides) under bacterium. Its description in RNAcentral is "partial 16S ribosomal RNA". It matches the Rfam family "Bacterial small subunit ribosomal RNA", at positions 355 to 776 of the family's 1533-position model. The record is from RNAcentral.
UGGGGAAUAUUGCACAAUGGGGGAAACCCUGAUGCAGCGACGCCGCGUGAACGAAGAAGGUAUGCGUAUCGUAAAGUUCUGUCCUAUGGGAAGAUAAUGACAGUACCAUAGAAGAAAGCUCCGGCUAAAUACGUGCCAGCAGCCGCGGUAAUACGUAUGGAGCGAGCGUUGUCCGGAAUUAUUGGGCGUAAAGGGUACGCAGGCGGUUUAAUAAGUCGAAUGUUAAAGAUCGGGGCUCAACCCCGUAAAGCAUUGGAAACUGAUAAACUUGAGUAGUGGAGAGGAAAGUGGAAUUCCUAGUGUAGUGGUGAAAUACGUAGAUAUUAGGAGGAAUACCAGUAGCGAAGGCGACUUUCUGGACACAAACUGACGCUGAGGUACGAAAGCGUGGGGAGCAAACAGG